This 253-nucleotide ribosomal RNA is filed under the name uncultured bacterium. RNAcentral's name for it is "partial 16S ribosomal RNA". It matches the Rfam family "Bacterial small subunit ribosomal RNA", at positions 524 to 776 of the family's 1533-position model. The record is from RNAcentral.
UACGUAGGGUGCAGGCGUUAAUCGGAAUUACUGGGCGUAAAGCGUGCGCAGGCGGUUUCUUAAGUCAGAUGUGAAAGCCCCGGGCUUAACCUGGGAACUGCGUUUGAAACUGGGAGACUUGAGUGUGGCAGAGGGGGGUGGAAUUCCAGGUGUAGCGGUGAAAUGCGUAGAUAUCUGGAGGAAUACCGGUGGCGAAGGCGGCAUCCUGGACCGGCAUUGACGCUGAUGAGCGAAAGCUAGGGGAGCAAACGGG